Molecule: transfer RNA, 73 nt
Filed under: Bacteroidaceae bacterium
Lineage: Bacteria; Pseudomonadati; Bacteroidota; Bacteroidia; Bacteroidales; Bacteroidaceae
Description: tRNA-Thr
Rfam family: tRNA
About the family: Transfer RNA (tRNA) molecules are approximately 80 nucleotides in length. Their secondary structure includes four short double-helical elements and three loops (D, anti-codon, and T loops).
Source: RNAcentral
GCCGAAUUGGCUAAGUUUUUAGAGCAACGCAUUCGUAAUGCGUGGUUCGUCGUUUCGAGUCCGCCAUUCGGCU